Long non-coding RNA from Gallus gallus (chicken), 6234 nucleotides. RefSeq lists it as uncharacterized. The record is from RefSeq and is a predicted model, not a curated record. NCBI's taxonomy places the organism in Eukaryota, Metazoa, Chordata, Aves, Galliformes, Phasianidae. The transcript is spliced from 4 exons.
CAGUCCAAGAUGACCCUCGGGAAUCACAACACAUCAGCCAGCGUCGGCCUUUCAAGCAGACAGCUGGGGACGCAGUUACGAGCACCCAAGCUGUAAAGAAAUUCUGGUUAAAAUACUUAUUCGUGGGCCCUGUGAGAAGCUCGUGCUUUAAAGGCCGGCAGCUUGUGAGUUCAGCGCUGACGCCGCUGAGGGCUCAAUUCAGCCCGGACUCAGGAGAGGAAGAAGCGCUGCCGAGCAGCCUCAGACACGCUCACCCCGCAGCGCACGGCUGAGAGGCCCCGAACACCGCUCCUUGGAACUGGACUCAAGAUCUUAUCAACGAGAUACGAUGCAGCACUUCUCCUUCAAGAUUUAAGAUACCGUUCUUCUGGAGGAAAACACUGAAAGCAGUCCUAGAUGCACAUUUUGUUUUAAUCUCCUUUUUCCAAAACGGUGUGGGAGAAACUUUUCUUAGUGGCUAUGAUACAGUUGUUGGGGUGCACCCGUUGAAUGCAAGUUUCAAGGGCAGCUACCAGGCCUGAGGACUUCGGAACUUGUUCUUCUAAAUCUUCCUUCUCUGUGAUUUUGAAGAAUCAUAAAAUAGCAUCAAUAAAUUCAUAUUCUACUUAGAAAAUGGAUUAAAGUCACCUACGUAACUUGGUUGAAAGGAAGCGGUGAUAUGCUGCCCUAAUGCUGACUUGUAGCAGAAGAACUAAAAGUUUUUGGACCGUCAGCAGCAGCAAGAAAUCACAGAGCUGUAUUUACAGAGGCCAUUAAUUGUCCAGACUGUUGGGUAACAAAUUCUGAUAAACACGGAUCAGGAUAUGGUUCUUGAAUUAUGCAGAGGAUAAUUUCACAAUCCAGAAAACAGAGAAUUCAAGCAUAGAAAAAGCCAUACAAAACAUCUUAUUGCCAGCUGGGGAGGAAUUUGCAAUGAUGUCAGAAUUACAGGAAAGUUCAGCGCUAGUGACACUGGUCUGCUGGAUCACUCUGUGUGAUAAGGAACAGCUUUAGACAGUGGUCACAAUUACAGUUACAUACUCCACAAAGUAACUGACAUUAUGGCAAAAUGGGCCAUAGCAAUUAGAGGAAAGCUGUGAUAAAGCUAAGUGGACAGAAGCCUGCAAAUGUCUUAGUGAAAACUACUGUAAAACAUGUCGCUACAUGGGUGAUAGAUUUCAAUAUAUAAAAAAAAAGGGACUUAGGAAACGAUGAGCAGAUGCAGCAAUGGAGAAAAGAAAUGGCACUAUGGUGGAAAUAGGCUGGAACAUUCCAAAUGAUACAUAAUUAAAGUACAACAGAUCUUAGCUCCUCUUGAAAAAGGAAUAUUGUCCCUUUCUCGGGAAGUUAACUGUUUGGUAGAGGACCACAAGCGAGCCCAGUACUGCUGCCCUUUACUGUAAUCAGGUUAAAGGGCUGUCACUUACCUCUGAAAUGGGAGCUCAAGUGAUAUCUGUCAACCUUUGGAAGUUUUGCUGGAUCAGGAGUUACUUAUUAGCUGCUGCUGAAGUCAAGCACGGAGCACAGACAAUCAUCAAAAACACAGGGAGUGAAGACUUGUCAGGGCAAAUGAGCAGUUUGGGCUUUUUUUCUCUCAGCCAGCUGUGGUGAGCCACACUGAGUAUCUAAGAUAAAACAUCAGGAGAAAGAUAUUGUAACUUUAUUGGGGGAAAAAGGUGAGAUAGAGAUGACCUGAAAUAGAAGACGUGAAUGAAGAAUCGAUCAAGGAAAAUAAAAUAAAUUGGAAAAAAAAAAUAGAAUACUGUGAAAAGGAAUGCAAUGUAUGUCACACUUAAAAGCCCAGAUUUGUCUCCUCUGCAUUAUUAACCUCCAUCUUCCUUCAAGACCACAGUUAUGUAGAUCAGUGAUAGCUGAGUAUUCGCAGCUCACGUAAACCAGUCAAACAUGAACACAUACAACAGUGUCAAGGCCCUCACUAAACAGAAAUACCAGCAAAUAGAAAUACCUCAGGAGACGGAAGGAGCAGGAGAAUCUCAGGGAAAGCAUUACACUCAACACACAACCAGUGUACACAGUAUACUUUGCCAAAACCGGAGAAGUGUACGCUUAGCGUCAGCAUGAAUUAUGGGAAGGGAUUUCUUGGACUUUUCAUUUUGGAUCAGUGUUUGGAAAAUAACCAUAAACUGUAUAUUGACUUUAAAAUGGCUUACCAACAGGAAAAUAUUAGAACUGAUCCUGAAGCGUUCAAGGCUUUCCGAUUGCAACAUCGUGAAAUUCAAAGCCAUCUGCAACAACAAAAGAACCCAUUAGUGACCAAACAGCGCUGUUGGAUGAAGACUGUUAUUAUGAAGAAGGUUACACUUACAAUUCAAGGUUCAUUUCAAGCUGGUCUCUCAACUCUCUUCUAAAAUUUUUGUCAUGAGAAAUGCUUUUGUGAUUUCAUCUUGGUAAGAAUUAUCCUUUUAUACUUUUCAAAGCAAUGUUUUAAGUGUCUUUCCUUCCCAUUUGGGAUUUUUCUACAAGAAGUCUCUUUCUCCAAGUUACUGCCAAGCAGAUUUGCUCACUGUGGAAUCCAUUUGACUUCGCUGUGCAAGAUUUUGGACCUUUUUAACAAGUAAGUUUUAUAUCAGGGCUUCAACAUGCAUCUAAAAGCAGAGACAAACCCAUCCUCCUCUUAUUUUAAUUGUAUCUUUUGAAUAACAUGCUCAACAAACAGUCCCAAACAUCUAGCCAAAGGUGCUUUGAGUCAGGGAAUACAGACAAACACAUUUCUUCCUCGGAUGAAAAGAUGCUUUACUUUUUAUCGGGUUUGUUUUAUUCUAGAAUACCUACAUCUUUGCUUUAUAGAUGGCCUUUGUAGAGAGCUCCAGUUACCUGCUGAGAUUUGAUAAGUUUUCAUUCAUUGCUAAGUGGCAAAAAACAGACCAACAGGCAUUUAUUCCAUUUGACACCAGUCACACCAGCUGUUUCACGGGGAGCAACCAAGUGCAUCUUUCUUUUACAGUGUAUUUUGCUUUGGGGCAAAAGAUAGCAAUGCAUAAUAAUCACAUUUUGAGUAAAGGCUGGGUAAUAAACUUGUACCACGUGCCAAUACUGUAAAGAAAGAACUCCUAGCUCUCAAAUACUGUAUGCAGGUGUGGUACCUCAGUGGGAAACAGUUUAGGGAUGAAUUCUGCCUUCUAGUUUACUAUGACCAUGCUGAUUACAUUGGCCAUUCAAAAUAAAUAAAAUAGACCUCAUUGUUUUGCCUUCCUGUGAAGUGCUUGUAGAACAUUUUUAGCUGUAACCACUCUAUGCUCCAAGCUGACUGUAGUUGGAAUUGGUGUCCCUACACCACUUGAUUAGUUGAAUAAAUUCUGCAUGCCCAUGUCCGGGAUCCAUGGCAAUAGAGUUAUGUUGCUAUGCUAUGAAAUGUGCGGGAGGGUGCAACCCUUCACAAGGGAUAUGAUUUCCGGGGCUACUGAAACUUUGCAAUGUAGGCAAGAAAGAAUGCUUAAGGCAACAAACAAAAGAAAUCUCUGGAAUGGUGACAAGUAGGAUCGCUCAGGUCGGUGGGUACAGGCAGAACACCGACCUCUCAGGGAAACAGCUAUCUGAAAAUUGUUUAAAAAUUAUGUUGUGGACAAAGAUUAUCCUACUUCUGUGCUGGACAUUCUGAGGAGAGGGCACAUGGCAGCAGCGUGUGUAACACAUAUCUGUGUGAAGGGCUGAAUUAAUCCAUCAUGAUACGUACAGGAACUUUUAGCCAGGGCUGGAAAAGUGAGAAAACUAAAAGCCAGGAUGCUAACUAAAAGCUAAAAAACAGAGAUUGCAUCAAUCUCUCACAAACUAUCUGACAGAUGUAACUAUUAUUUCUGGCCAUACUGAUGACAGGAUUUCUUUUUCCCCUGGCAUAAUAAGCGAAAGUCUCCUUAGACCUGUUGUUUUAGUGAGUGCAGAAAACUCUUCCUGUUUUCAUGGCCUGGGGAGAGGAGGGAAGAUGAGAAGUCUGUACCUGUAUUUUUCCCUAGGCACUGUGGUACCAUCAGGAAUCAAGUGGACUGCUGCUAUCAGCAUCUCAAAGAUAGAGAAUGAAUUCAAGAAGGGGGGGGGGGGGAGGAAGGAGGAGGGGCUGUAAAAAAAAAAAAGGUAAAAAUACCUUAGCUUUCACAUGUCAGAGAGUGUCUUCUGUUCUCUUUGGGUCUUGACACUGCUAGCUGAACUACCCAAGAGACUAAAUUUAAAGGCUUGGAGCUGUGACAGGUUUUUGUUCUUGACCGGGAUCCUACCUGAAGUGAAAGGAGCAAUGUAGCACAUCAGAAAGGAUAUGUAAGGACUGUAAAUCUACCAGAAUUCUACUGCCUUAUUAGAACUGUAAUCUUGAAAUGUUUGUUUUAAGCAGUUUUCUCCAUGUUAAAUUUAAUAUUUCCCUAAAGUGCCAAAUAGAAAAGGUCCUGCUCUGUUAAACACUGUUAAAAACAUAUGAAGACAACACAUUGCUCAGAAGACCUUUCAAACUAAGGCCAGUAAUACCAAAGGAAAAGCAGGUAUCAAAUAAACUGUCUCAUUUGAUUUUAUCUUUCUCUUCUAUUCAGGUGCCCUAAAACCUUCCCAUCAUUAAUUGACUGACUUCCACUGUCACAGCACAGGUGGUCCUCCAAGAGAUUAGUUUUUCCUCAGAUAAUAAUCUUACUAUGCACUUCCAUCAUAACGCACUUUUGAAAAGCUUAAGUACUUCACAAAUAUUCAUGAACUUCAUCUCUUGGUGCCCACAUUCAGUCUGGACAGUUAGAAAACAAACUAGUUCAAACUAUCCUAACCCCAAUUUCCUUGUAACUCCACAUUAACCAUUCUAUAUAAUCCCAAUCUCCUUGCAAAUCCACAUUAUCUAUUCUACCCCUGGAUGGCACGCCGCUGUUUUCUGUGCUUCCAACUAUUGAGCCAGGAAACAGCAAGGGAUUUGGAUGAAUGAAGUAGUGGUGGGGAAUACAAAAAUCCCUAGGAAGCUUCAAGAGCUAUCCUCUGGGCUUCCUGAUCCACAGACACUGAAAAUGAAGCUGUGUUUGAAAAUGGGCCAAGAGAAGCCAGAACGCAACUUCUUCUAGGGGUCAUCGUUCUGCAGAGUGGUGCAGUUUCACCGUGUGCUGGUGCUGGGAAAACCAAAGUACAGGCUUCUAAAAGGUGCCAGACAGUCUCAAAGGCAGACAGCUGCCUCUGCAGAUUUUAGAAAAAUAGGCAUUCUCGGUCAAUGUCUUAGAAUAUAGAUAAAAAACUGAGAUCAAAUGAUGUUAUUGUCAUUUUUCUGAAAAAAUGUUAGGGAUAGCAUCUUAUCUGAGCCCAGCCUUCUCAGAGCUCUGUGGGUUUACCUGGACUACUCUUUGGUACUCUUUACUCAGUUUCUCUUUGGUAACAAUUUCAGGAAGAGGGGAAAAAAGAGUAAGGUAAAAAAAAAAAUCACUGAAUAUAAAAUAGAGAAAAACAAUCCCUACAUCUAACAAUAUAAGUUCCCAUGUAGUCAAGUUCAAGACAAGUGGAAAGUGGCAUUUUAUUUAUAAAUAAAGCAAAUAAACCAAAUGCACAGAGCUUGGCUAAGGGAAGACUAAAGGGAAUGUGAUGCAAGCACUGAAAAAUAAUAAACUGAAACUCUGAAUUCUAUACGGGGAUAUACGUUUUAGUGAUGUGCAUUAGCAUAAAAUUAAGCAAUGGGAAAUUUACAGCUUUCAAGUGUGAAAAAAAAGUGUGAUGAUGACAAUCUGUAAGGCUACAGAAUGGGAUUUUAAUGGAAGCUCUGAAAAAUCUACCUGUGUCAUUAAAACCAGGGCAGACCAAGAUCUUCGUAUCUUUGUGAAGUGACUCUGUAUACAGGAGGAGAAAGGCAAUGUAAAAUAAGUAAAUAAAUGCAUAAAAUACUGAAGUUUAACUGCCAGUUGUACUUCAAGCCUGUGGUAUAGGACAAAAUAAGCCUAACAUGAUAAUAAUAUAACAAAAAUUCCAUGAAUAUCCACUGGGAGAAGUUGCUUAUCUUCAAGGAAAAGAAAAAACAAACAAACAAACAAACAGUAACAGUAUAUCAAAGCCUUUUUUUUUAAAAUAAUUUUAUUUUCAGGCAUAUAUUCAUAGUUGUAUGCAUAUUUUGCUUUACGGUGUUAGCAUGCCAAUUUUAAGUGAAAGUUGCACUUUUAAUACUGCUUUGUUUGUCCUCAGAUGAACAAUACCCACUCUGAAGAUCAAUACAUGAGUAUUCUUAGAUAGGGAUGCAUGCUCAUAAUUCCUUAUGGAUGCGUGAAAAAUAAUAAACAAAAACCAUGAAUAAAA